GCAAAAUGGAAGCUGCUUAAUUUGGACGGCUUAGAAUUAAUUGGAAAUGUAGAAUCACUCUACUAUCAUAUAUAGGAAUUAGAAAGAUGGAGAGAAAGAAAAUGGUCAAAGAUCAGGAGUGCAUGCAUAAAUUCUAGAGUUCUAAAAUCUUCUCUAAAUCACCCGACAAAUGAGUUUUAGCAACAAGCUAGCAAAUUAAAGAGCAAUACUUAUAGGGACAACCACCCCUAGAACCCCACUGCAGCCUUGGCUGAUGUGGCUUAUGGCAGUCAAUAUUAUUUUUAAAAAAUAAAAUAAAAUAAAAACAAGAAAAAAAGCACAGAAAAGGGAGGGAAAGCACGAAUUUUGAGGGGCAUUUGGUGAUCUGAGCAUUUUGUGAGAAAGAAGCCAGAGAGGGAGAUCUGAGCACUUUAUGGGUUCGAUCGCCGUCAUUAGCCGUCUUUGGUCGCCAUCCCAACUUCCAGAUCUCUGAGUUGUGGGUUGUCGGUGGCAUCUAUGCUUGCCUUUGAUUCUGUUUUGGUGAUUUGGUAUCAUCUGGGUUCAGCCACGGCUUUCCCUCUUAUUUUCGGUGUAUUCUGGUCGUGGGUCCUGUGCCUUUACGCGUGCGGCCUUCUUUGCUCCAUAGCCAUUCGUUAGCUUUCUGUGAAGUUUUGAUGGCAUGGGAAACAGGAAAGAACAACUAUCUACGCUAAUACCAGGCAGCUCAAACACCCCAUCUGCAGUAUAUAUCAAUAACAUUGGAAUUUGUUGAGUUGAUAUUUAUUUUCAAAAUACAUCAAUAACUUUAUCUAAUAACAUGUUAGUGCAUACCAUCAACUAGUCCAAAUAUCUCAAAUUACAUGCAUGAUUACUAUGGAGCAGUGCCUGCAUGGUCAUCGGCCUUUCUGCCAUAUUUAGUUGGCAAGCAAUACCCAUUUCAACAUGGCAUGGAACCUCCGACUCCUCACAUCAAUACAAGCUCCACUACAAGUAACUACAAAGGUACAGAGGAUAAUAGAUCCGAUGGUGGGGAAAUUGAAGCGCCAUGUACAUCUCAUAGAGUUGAAGAAAGUAUUAAGGAUAAAUGAAAUAUACAAGAAAUUGAGGAUGGCAGUGCCGGGACAUCUCAGAAUGUGGUAAUGGAUGAUGAUGAUAUGGUUGAGGAGCCAAAGUUGGAGAUGGAGUUUAAUUCCCUUGAAAAUUUAUUGAGUUAUUAUAAGCAAUACGGUAAGAAAUGCAGCUUUGGGGUGAUGAUGAAAAGAACUGAGAGGGGAGAAGAUGAGACUAUUAGAUAUGUCACCAUUGCUUGUGCUCGGGGUGGGAAGGCCCAGAAUAGGACUUGAAUAUUGCCAACCCACGUUCGACAAGAAAGACGGAAUGUAAGUCAAAGACUAAUGCAUUAAGAAUUGAUGGAAAGUUUCAGUUGACUACAGUACAUAAUAUCCAUAAUUACGGCCUCAGUUUAAAAAAAUUCAUCUUCUUUCGAUGUAAUAGAGAAGUGAGUGACUCGAUAAAAAGGAUCCUAUAUACAAAUGACUUGGCUGGCAUCCGGAUGAAUAAG
This is a long non-coding RNA of Carya illinoinensis, 1540 nucleotides long. RefSeq lists it as uncharacterized. Lineage: Eukaryota; Viridiplantae; Streptophyta; Magnoliopsida; Fagales; Juglandaceae. The record is from RefSeq and is a predicted model, not a curated record. The transcript has 3 exons.